This 253-nucleotide ribosomal RNA is filed under the name uncultured bacterium. RNAcentral's name for it is "partial 16S ribosomal RNA". It matches the Rfam family "Bacterial small subunit ribosomal RNA", at positions 524 to 776 of the family's 1533-position model. The record is from RNAcentral.
UACGUAGGGGGCAAGCGUUGUUCGGAAUUACUGGGCGUAAAGCGCGGGCAGGUGGCCUUUUAAGUCCUUUGUGAAAUUCCGGAGCUCAACUCCGGAUGUGCAUAGGAUACUGGAAGGCUAGAGACUGGUAGAGGCGAGUGGAAUUCCUGGUGUAGCGGUGGAAUGCGUAGAUAUCAGGAAGAACACCCGUGGCGAAAGCGGCUCUCUGGAACGGUACUGACGCUGAGACGCGAAAGCGUGGGGAGCAAACAGG